This 303-nucleotide long non-coding RNA is filed under the name Rattus norvegicus (Norway rat). RNAcentral's name for it is "long non-coding RNA NONRATT008227". The record is from RNAcentral. Lineage: Eukaryota; Metazoa; Chordata; Mammalia; Rodentia; Muridae.
AGCAGCUUGGUCACAUACCAGGACGCAGACGGACAUUCUCUGCCAGGUCCUGCAGACCUGAGGAUCAGGCGCCCAGGCAUCCCCAAGACCAAGAUACCACAAGAACAGCUAAUGGGGGUGAACCUCCAGAACCUGCUGGCUCUCUCCACCAGAGGUUGGGUCCAGACCCAGGAGUGGGCCUGGCGGGCCCCAGGUCAUACCUCCUGGGUAUGAGAGGGCCCCAAGGGUGCAGAGACUGGCACCCCUCUGCAGAAUUGUACACUGUGUGAGAAGCAUUCAAAUAAAGGUGUGUGGUGUUAUAGC